GAUGAACGCUGGCGGCGUGCCUAACACAUGCAAGUCGAACGAAGCAUGCCGGAGGAAGUUUUUGGAUGGAAUCCGGGAUGACUGAGUGGCGGACGGGUGAGUAACGCGUGGGUAACCUGCCCUGUACAGGGGGACAACAGUUAGAAAUGACUGCUAAUACCGCAUAAGCGCACAGGACCGCAUGGUCCGGUGUGAAAAACUCCGGUGGUACAGGAUGGACCCGCGUCUGAUUAGGUAGUUGGCGGGGUAACGGCCCACCAAGCCGACGAUCAGUAGCCGACCUGAGAGGGUGACCGGCCACAUUGGGACUGAGACACGGCCCAA
This 324-nucleotide ribosomal RNA is filed under the name uncultured bacterium. RNAcentral's name for it is "bacterial SSU rRNA". It matches the Rfam family "Bacterial small subunit ribosomal RNA", at positions 28 to 334 of the family's 1533-position model. The record is from RNAcentral.